AGUGAACGCUGGCGGUAGGCCUAACACAUGCAAGUCGAACGGCAGCACAGUAAGAGCUUGCUCUUACGGGUGGCGAGUGGCGGACGGGUGAGGAAUACAUCGGAAUCUACUUUUUCGUGGGGGAUAACGUAGGGAAACUUACGCUAAUACCGCAUACGACCUACGGGUGAAAGCAGGGGAUCUUCGGACCUUGCGCGAUUGAAUGAGCCGAUGUCGGAUUAGCUAGUUGGCGGGGUAAAGGCCCACCAAGGCGACGAUCCGUAGCUGGUCUGAGUGGAUGAACAGCCACACUGGAACUGAGACACGGUACAGACUCCUACAGGAGGAAGCAGUGGGGAAUAUUGGACAAUGGGCGCAAGCCUGAUCCAGCCAUACCGCGUGGGUGAAGAAGGCCUUCGGGUUGUAAAGCCCUUUUGUUGGGAAAGAAAAGCAGCAGGUUAAUACCCCGCUGUUCUGACGGUACCCAAAGAAUAAGCACCGGCUAACUUCGUG
RNAcentral lists this ribosomal RNA (492 nucleotides) under uncultured bacterium. Its description in RNAcentral is "partial 16S ribosomal RNA". It matches the Rfam family "Bacterial small subunit ribosomal RNA", at positions 29 to 507 of the family's 1533-position model. The record is from RNAcentral.